CACUGUACUGACCUGUCACACACUGAAGGUCUAUAGGUUCACCACUGUACUAACCUGUCACACACUGAAGUCCUAUAGGUUCACCACUGUACUAACCUGUCACACACUGAAGACCUAUAGGUUCACCACUGUACUAACCUGUCACACACUGAAGACCUAUAGGUUCACCACUGUACUAACCUGUCACACACUGAAGGCCUAUAGGUUCACCACUGUACUAACCUGUCACACACUGAAGGUCUAUAGGUUCACCACUGUACUAACCUGUCACACACUGAAGGCCUAUAGGUUCACCACUGUACUAACCUGUCACACACUGAAGGUCUAUAGGUUCACCACUGUACUAACCUGUCACACACUGAAGGUCUAUAGGUUCACCACUGAAGACCUAUAGGUUCACCACUGUACUAACCUGUCACACACUGAAGGCCUAUAGGUUCACCACUGAAGACCUAUAGGUUCACCACUGUACUAACCUGUCACACACUGAAGGCCUAUAGGUUCACCACUGUACUAACCUGUCACACACUGAAGGUCUAUAGGUUCACCACUGUACUAACCUGUCACACACUGAAGACCUAUAGGUUCACC
Oncorhynchus tshawytscha (Chinook salmon) is the source of this 591-nucleotide long non-coding RNA. The record is from Ensembl. NCBI's taxonomy places the organism in Eukaryota, Metazoa, Chordata, Actinopteri, Salmoniformes, Salmonidae.